UGCUUGAUUUUUUUAAUGUAAAUAAUUUUUAUAAUUAUAAAUUUUUAAUAGAGAUAACUUUUUUUUUAGUAUUUUUAAAAGAAAUAAUUUAUUAAUAUUAAUAGUUUAUUUAACUGUGAAGGUUAAAUAUUAUAGGGAUUUACAGUAGAAUUUAUUUUUUGUACCUUUUGUAUCAGGGUUUAUCAAAUACUUACUAUUUAUCUAUAGUUUUCCCGAAUUUAGAAGAUUUAUUAUAUAUUGUUAUUCAAUGUUAUAUAAUUGUUAAUAAAUGUAUAAUAGAUGUUAUAUGCUAUUCAUUUUUAAUUAUCUGGUUUCUUAAUAAAUGAAUAUAAUUCAUUAAUACCUAACUCCAACUGAUCAAUUUAUUUUGUUUGUAUAUAGGUAUUUUAAAAUUAAAGGGGAUAAGCUCUUUAGUUGUUUUAUAAAUCAUUAAAUUUUAAAAUUUAUGUAGGAUUAGAAAUUUUCAUCAUUUAUUUUGUUAUAAUAAAAGUUUAAUUAAUAUUUUAUUUAUUUUGGUUUUAAAUAUUUAUUAGGAAUUAUCAUUUAAUCUUUAAAUGAUAGUUAUAAUGAUAAAAUUAGUAUAUUUUCUGGAAUUAAUAUAUAGUAACUCGGCAAAUUUAUUCUUCACCUGUUUAACAAAAACAUGUCUUGAUGAUUUUUAUUUAUUAAGUCUAUCCUGCUCAAUGAUUUAUUAUUAAAUAGCCGCAGUAUCUUGACUGUGCGAAGGUAGCAUAAUCAUUUGUCUUUUAAUUAAAGGCUUGUAUGAAUGGUUGGAUGAGGGAAUUACUUUCUUUAUAUUAAAAAUAGAAUUUAAUUUUUAAGUUAAAAAGCUUAAAUUUUUAAGUGGGACGAGAAGACCCUAUAGAAUUUUAUUAUAAGUUUUAUAUUUAAUUUAUGGUUAUUUUUAUUAUUUAUGUAUCUUAUAAUUUUAUUGGGGUGAUAUUGAGAUUAAAAAAACUCUCAUAACUUAAUAUUUAAUUAUUUUUAUUUUGUUAGGAUCCUAUUUUAUGGAUAUUUAGAUUAAAUUACCUUAGGGAUAACAGCGUAAUUUUUCUGGAGAGUUCUUAUCGAUGGAAAAGUUUGCGACCUCGAUGUUGGAUUAAAAUUAGAUUUAAGUGCAGAAGCUUAAAGUUCUAGGUCUGUUCGACCUUUAAAUUUUUACAUGAUCUGAGUUCAGACCGGCGUGAGCCAGGUCGGUUUCUAUCUUCUUAAUAAUUAAUAUAAAUUAGCACGAAAGGACCAUUUAUAUCAAAUAAUUUGUUUAGUAUUUGAAUAAUUUUAAA
RNAcentral lists this ribosomal RNA (1283 nucleotides) under Nezara viridula (southern green stink bug). Its description in RNAcentral is "16S ribosomal RNA". The stretch from base 840 to 1212 matches the Rfam family "Archaeal large subunit ribosomal RNA", at positions 2148 to 2718 of the family's 2987-position model. The record is from RNAcentral. Lineage: Eukaryota; Metazoa; Arthropoda; Insecta; Hemiptera; Pentatomidae.